UCUGGCGGCAGUAGCGCGGUGGUCCCACCUGACCCCAUGCCGAACUCAGAAGUGAAACGCCGUAGCGCCGAUGGUAGUGUGGGGUCUCCCCAUGC
RNAcentral lists this ribosomal RNA (95 nucleotides) under Escherichia coli. Lineage: Bacteria; Pseudomonadati; Pseudomonadota; Gammaproteobacteria; Enterobacterales; Enterobacteriaceae. The record is from RNAcentral. RNAcentral also lists the same sequence under 3 other names.